This is a long non-coding RNA of Aegilops tauschii subsp. strangulata, 1670 nucleotides long. RefSeq lists it as uncharacterized. The record is from RefSeq and is a predicted model, not a curated record. NCBI's taxonomy places the organism in Eukaryota, Viridiplantae, Streptophyta, Magnoliopsida, Poales, Poaceae.
CUCACAUGGUAUUACGCAACCCUUCUUAUAUCUAAUUUUGGCUAUCAUCAGAAAUAAGGUUACACUGAGCAUAAUAGUUUGGACCAUAAAUUUGGGAUGUGAAGAAGCCACCCUGACGACGUUCGUCAGGACCUAAUUGACCUCCGCACUAUCAUUCAAUGAAAUAAUAGUUUUGCAUGAAUAGUCUUUUAGUUCAUUUUUUAAGUAACACACAUUCCGAAAAGUUUUUUUUUGUAAUUUUUCAGAACAUAUUCAAAAAAUUGGAUUAUUUUUUUAUGACGAUCAAUUUUCUUGGAAAAGUAUAUUUCAAUUAUAUUUUUUUAGCAUAACAGUUUGGACCAUAAAUUUCGGACAUGAAGAAGCCACCCUGACGACGUUCGUCACGACCUAAUUCACCUCCGCAUUAUCAUCCGAUGAAAUAUAGUUUUGCAUGAAUAGUCUUUUAGUUGAUUUUUUAGUAAAACACAUUCUGAAAAGUUUUUUUGUAAUUUUUCAGAACAUAUUCAAAAAAUUAAUCAUUUUUUUGUUGACGAUCAAUUUUCUUGGAAAAGUAUAUUUCAAUUGUAUUUAUUUUUGCAUUGUUUUUUGGCUUGGCCCAAGCAAAAGAAAAUAUGUCUGCUACCCCUAAAAAAAACAUAAUAUGUCUACUACUAAACAACAAAAGAGAAUUUCUCAAAAAAGAACAAAAAAGCAUUUGUAGUGUGCUUGCUACGGUGGAGCUUAUAUUCACCGAAAUCCGGCAAUGGGCACUUGCAGGAGGGAGAGUUCACCGAUAUUGUGAGUAAUCGCCUGAGUUAAACCGGAGUGGAGGGGUGUGGGAUCCCCGGUUGUGGUGAUCUCGCCAUUGUAAUAUCGUGUACAUAUACUCUUUCUUUUUCUAUAAAGCUAAGAUACGCUUUUUCGUACUUUAAAAAAAACAGAGACGUUACUCCUAAAAAAAAGAAAAGGAGACGCACGAACUCGAUAUCUCUUCCCGUUCCCCAUUUUCUCUCCUGGUGCUGGCCAAGCGGCGGCGCCGCCGCCUCCCGUCUUCUCGUCGUUCUCGGAGGAUGAGGGCACGAAGGAUGUGGCUGUACCGUCGUGCCCUCCACCUGCGCCGGCUUAUCAACGGGACCUUGCGCGGCUCCCUCUUAUUUCAGCUCCGCCCGCGCCCGCGCCACCGUCGACGGCGCGGCUUCGGCGUCCCCGGUGGCUCCUGUCCGACGCCUACAGCGCUUCCUCGCGCGGAUGCAGCGGGCUCCUGGCCGGUAGAGGAGGAGUUGGAUGCAGAUUGUUCCUCGGCGUGGUCCUGCUCGCCGCCGACGAGGCCCUGCGAGGGGCGAGGAGACGGCUCCACUGCUCCGAGCUCCUCCGACGUACUGCUGCUGGUGCCAUGGAGGACAGGGGGAGAGGGCCAUAUACGCCUAUGGUUGUCCUUAGAAGCAUGAGGUCAUUGUUGAUUCUAAAUUUGAUUUGUACAUACCUGGGUCGAUGUUUUUGACGGCAGCGGCGAUACCGGCGAGGCAAUGUGGAAAGCUGGAUUGUUAAGAAGAAUCGACCAAGGACUUGAUAUAUAUUGGAUUAAGGGGAUUGUACAUGUACUAGCACAGAUGCCCGUGCGUUGCAAUAGGAGAUUUUUUGACGUGAAUUCAAAUUUAGUGAGAAUUGUUAAAGCUUGUUCAUUUCACCAA